UACGGAGGGUGCAAGCGUUAUCCGGAUUUACUGGGUUUAAAGGGUGCGUAGGUGGGUAAGUAAGUCAGUGGUGAAAUCUUCGAGCUUAACUCGGAAACUGCCAUUGAUACUAUUUAUCUUGAAUACUUUGGAGGUAAGCGGAAUAUGUCAUGUAGCGGUGAAAUGCUUAGAUAUGACAUAGAACACUAAUUGCGAAGGCAGCUUACUACACAGUUAUUGACACUGAGGCACGAAAGCGUGGGGAUCAAACAGG
Molecule: ribosomal RNA, 253 nt
Filed under: uncultured bacterium
Lineage: Bacteria
Description: partial 16S ribosomal RNA
Rfam family: Bacterial small subunit ribosomal RNA
Source: RNAcentral